UUAAAAACAUUGAUUAGGAAGAGUAGUUCCAGCCGCAGGAAAUCAGAAAGCUGACGGUAGUUGUGAGUCAGCCAAGCCCUUGAAUGAAAAUCGCCUAUGAGUUGGGCGUCAAAAACUUAGUAAGACGCACCUGGCAGCACCCAUUAUCGUGCCGAUGAAUCCAAAUUUCUUGGGCUCAUUUGAGGUUAAGUUUCCAGCUUAACGAAAAAAGGUGGUACCACGCCCGUGUGACGUCCUUUAA
Molecule: non-coding RNA, 241 nt
Filed under: Limosilactobacillus mucosae
Lineage: Bacteria; Bacillati; Bacillota; Bacilli; Lactobacillales; Lactobacillaceae
Description: Lactobacillus mucosae T-box
Rfam family: T-box leader
About the family: Uncharged tRNA acts as the effector for transcription antitermination of genes in the T-box leader family. T-boxes are found upstream of many aminoacyl-tRNA synthetase genes and some amino acid biosynthetic genes usually in Gram-positive bacteria.
Source: RNAcentral